This 247-nucleotide ribosomal RNA is filed under the name uncultured Lactobacillus sp. RNAcentral describes it as "partial 16S ribosomal RNA". It matches the Rfam family "Bacterial small subunit ribosomal RNA", at positions 116 to 356 of the family's 1533-position model. Lineage: Bacteria; Bacillati; Bacillota; Bacilli; Lactobacillales; Lactobacillaceae. The record is from RNAcentral.
CGUGGGCAAUCUGCCCUAAAGACUGGGAUACCACUUGGAAACAGGUGCUAAUACCGGAUAACAACAUGAAUCGCAUGAUUCAAGUUUGAAAGGCGGCGCAAGCUGUCACUUUAGGAUGAGCCCGCGGCGCAUUAGCUAGUUGGUGGGGUAAAGGCCUACCAAGGCAAUGAUGCGUAGCCGAGUUGAGAGACUGAUCGGCCACAUUGGGACUGAGACACGGCCCAAACUCCUACGGGAGGCAGCAGUG